This 549-nucleotide long non-coding RNA is filed under the name Carica papaya (papaya). Its description in RNAcentral is "long non-coding RNA (CPAP_LNC004144)". Lineage: Eukaryota; Viridiplantae; Streptophyta; Magnoliopsida; Brassicales; Caricaceae. The record is from RNAcentral.
UUCAACAAUGAGUUAAACAAGAUAAUAAAUAAAUGACUAACCGAUUUUUGGCUUAAUUGGUAACUUGUAAUUAUUCUCAAAAUUUUCUAGAUUACACAAAAUACUAUAUUACUGAUUAUUAAGCUUUAAUUCCAUAACAUGGAAUGAGGUGAGGGAUUUUUACCUGAAUCAGUGUUUGAAACAUCAAACUUUCAGCUACGCCUACUGAUAGUCCUCAGGUUUCCUGAAUUUUUCUGUAGAGAUUAAAACAUACUUCAUGUACCUAAAAAUACUCUAAAAAAAUCCAAAAUCGGUGUUAAAAACCUUUUUUGGCCAAUUUCAGAAUUCCGGCAUAGUGGCAUCGCCGUGCUCCGGCGACGGCGCCGCCACCCCCUGCGGUGGUUUACCUUGGCUUGGUCGUUUUCAGCCAGUUUUGGCUGAUUUUGGUCGAUUUUAUACUCAUCCAUGCGAGAAAACACGUUAGAGGGCCUUAAUUGGCCGAAAAAAGUUAAAAAAGUAAAACCUACCAGCGGCAGAAUUUUCUGGUAAGGCGGCUCUGCCGGCUCACCU